CCUACGGGGGGCAGCAGUGAGGAAUAUUGGUCAAUGGGCGAAAGCCUGAACCAGCAACGCCGCGUGAGGGAUGAAGGCCUUCGGGUCGUAAACCUCUUUUCUGGGAGAAGAGACAAGGACGGUAUCCCAGGAAUAAGUCUCGGCUAACUACGUGCCAGCAGCCGCGGUAAAACGUAGGAGGCAAGCGUUAUCCGGAUUUACUGGGCGUAAAGCGCACGCAGGCGGCUGCGUAAGUCGGACGUGAAAGCUCCUGGCUCAACUGGGAGAGGUCGUUCGAAACUGCGCGGCUUGAGGUUGGAAGAGGAGAGCGGAAUUCCCGGUGUAGUGGUGGAAUGCGUAGAUAUCGGGAGGAACACCAGUGGCGAAAGCGGCUCUCUGGUCCACACCUGACGCUCAGGUGCGAAAGCGUGGGUAGCGAACGGGAUUAGAUACCCUUGUAGUC
RNAcentral lists this ribosomal RNA (442 nucleotides) under uncultured bacterium. Its description in RNAcentral is "partial 16S ribosomal RNA". It matches the Rfam family "Bacterial small subunit ribosomal RNA", at positions 338 to 795 of the family's 1533-position model. The record is from RNAcentral.